CAUUAGCUGGAUUUUCUGCGAAAUCUGUUUAUAGCAAAUUAUUUAUUUUAUUAUUAGUAGGUAUAGCACUGAAUAUUUUUUUUUCCAUAAAAGGAAUAAUAAUUUACCUAACCAAAAAAAUUAAACCCCAAAAGGCCAAAAAGUUAAGGAAAAAAACCGAACUUUUGGCAAAAGGGAAAAAGGCCAAAGGGAAACCGCCCCGAACCGGAAAAAAAAAAGGAAGGGCCCCCAAUUAAUAAUGAGGGGGAAAUACCCAAGGAAUUUUUUUUUGGAAAACCAUAAAGGGGCCUGGAAAACGCCCCCAACGGGGGGGGGGGAAGCAACAGCCCGGGGGGGGGGGGGGAGAAAA
This 349-nucleotide ribosomal RNA is filed under the name Pneumocystis carinii f. sp. suis. Its description in RNAcentral is "partial 16S ribosomal RNA". The record is from RNAcentral. Lineage: Eukaryota; Fungi; Ascomycota; Pneumocystomycetes; Pneumocystales; Pneumocystaceae.